GAAGUUGUAAAAUCACUUCAUCUGAUGAGUCAACAAUCAACGUUAAGCUAGCUUCGAAAAUUACCAAUGAAUCGUAGUCAGAGUAAACGUGAAAGUUGUGCAACCUACCGUCAACUAUUUUGUUCAAACUCAGUGUAUUCUACUGAAUGUGAUCGAAAUGAUACAGGAUUAAUCUUAAUUAUCGGCUGUUUCUAUUGAACUUGCUAGAUCACCGACCCCAGCAUGGAACAAUCUCUCAUUCCAUUUGAUUUGUGGUUUCAUGUGUAUAAAAGUUCACUUGACAUGUUACUGAACUUUAUUAAUUGCAGUCUAAUAUGAAUUUUUGUUUUAUUUACAGGUUUCUAAAUUGGCAUGACUGACUAUAUGAUAAGUUAUGUCCUUCCAAGAAAAGGACUUACAGUCAACAAGAUUCUUUGUUUGCUAACCCGUUGGCUGCUACCCAUGAAUCUCCCUAUUUGUCAACAACAAAAAAAGAGGUUAAAUAUUGUGAUCAUCUACCAUCAUUAUGUUGCCUAUAAGACCAAAUGUGUGGUGUCACCGAACUUGACUCAUUCCAUCUUCUGGAUUGCUUAGGAAAGCUGAUUGGUGUUACCUGUCCAUUUAGGUAAUGACCGAGAAGAUGCGGCCUACAUGAAC
This is a long non-coding RNA of Daphnia pulex (common water flea), 636 nucleotides long. RefSeq lists it as uncharacterized. Lineage: Eukaryota; Metazoa; Arthropoda; Branchiopoda; Diplostraca; Daphniidae. The transcript has 5 exons. The record is from RefSeq and is a predicted model, not a curated record.